This 221-nucleotide ribosomal RNA is filed under the name uncultured bacterium. RNAcentral's name for it is "partial 16S ribosomal RNA". It matches the Rfam family "Bacterial small subunit ribosomal RNA", at positions 1280 to 1500 of the family's 1533-position model. The record is from RNAcentral.
CGACCGUCCCAGUUCAGAUUGCAGUCUGCAACUCGACUGCAUGAAGUCGGAAUCGCUAGUAAUCGCGGAUCAGCAUGCCGCGGUGAAUACGUUCCCGGGCCUUGUACACACCGCCCGUCACACCAUGAGAGUCGGGAACACCCGAAGUCCGUAGCCUAACCGCAAGGAGGGCGCGGCCGAAGGUGGGUUCGAUAAUUGGGGUGAAGUCGUAACAAGGUAAC